Non-coding RNA from Oryza meridionalis, 205 nucleotides. NCBI's taxonomy places the organism in Eukaryota, Viridiplantae, Streptophyta, Magnoliopsida, Poales, Poaceae. The record is from Rfam.
CGUUUGACCAUUUUGCACUGUUCAUGUCCAACGUUUGACCAUUCGUCUUAUUUGAAUUUUUUUAUAAUUAGUAUUUUUAUUGUUAUUAGAUGAUAAACAUGAAUAGUACUUUAUGUGUGACUAAUUGUUUAAAAAAGAUCCAUAAAAUUUUUAAAUAAGACGGACGGUCAAACGUUGGACACGAAUACCCACGUUUGCACAGAGG